Molecule: ribosomal RNA, 446 nt
Filed under: uncultured bacterium
Lineage: Bacteria
Description: bacterial SSU rRNA
Rfam family: Bacterial small subunit ribosomal RNA
Source: RNAcentral
GGCCAGACUCCUACGGGAGGCAGCAGUGGGGAAUAUUGCACAAUGGGGGAAACCCUGAUGCAGCGACGCCGCGUGAGUGAAGAAGUAUUUCGGUAUGUAAAGCUCUAUCAGCAGGGAAGAAAAUGACGGUACCUGACUAAGAAGCCCCGGCUAACUACGUGCCAGCAGCCGCGGUAAUACGUAGGGGGCAAGCGUUAUCCGGAUUUACUGGGUGUAAAGGGAGCGUAGACGGCAUGGCAAGUCAGAUGUGAAAGCCCGGGGCUCAACCCCGGGACUGCAUUUGAAACUGUCAGGCUGGAGUGCAGGAGAGGUAAGUGGAAUUCCUAGUGUAGCGGUGAAAUGCGUAGAUAUUAGGAGGAACACCAGUGGCGAAGGCGGCUUACUGGACUGUAACUGACGUUGAGGCUCGAAAGCGUGGGGAGCAAACAGGAUUAGAUACCCGCGUA